CGUUAGCGGCGGACGGGUGAGUAACACGUGGAUAACCUACCUAUAAGACUGGGAUAACUUCGGGAAACCGGAGCUAAUACCGGAUAAUAUAUUGAACCGCAUGGUUCAAUAGUGAAAGACGGUUUUGCUGUCACUUAUAGAUGGAUCCGCGCCGCAUUAGCUAGUUGGUAAGGUAACGGCUUACCAAGGCAACGAUGCGUAGCCGACCUGAGAGGGUGAUCGGCCACACUGGAACUGAGACACGGUCCAGACUCCUACGGGAGGCAGC
RNAcentral lists this ribosomal RNA (268 nucleotides) under uncultured Staphylococcus sp. RNAcentral's name for it is "partial 16S ribosomal RNA". It matches the Rfam family "Bacterial small subunit ribosomal RNA", at positions 90 to 352 of the family's 1533-position model. Lineage: Bacteria; Bacillati; Bacillota; Bacilli; Caryophanales; Staphylococcaceae. The record is from RNAcentral.